CGGCUCACCGAACAUCUUUCUAUAAUGGGCUGUAAGUCUGUAAACCUAUCUAAAUUCCCUACAUUAUCCACCUAAUCAACACUAAUUAACAUAAAAUCCUUAAACCUAUCUAAAUUCCCUAUACCAACCACCUAAUCUAUCCUAAACUAACCAAAUUAGAGAGGAAUUAGAACGAAUUAGAGAGACUUACCAUUGCUACGAAAUAGAGAGGAAAUGGAGAGGAAGGGGAGAGGAAAGAAAGAAUGAGCGCUCGGGUGUAUAUAUAAGAUUACAUAUCCUCGUUAUUUCCUCGUAGAGUUACGAGGAAUUACAAAGGCCCGUGUUUUAUCAUACGAGGAAAUAGCGAGGCCCGAGUU
This 356-nucleotide long non-coding RNA is filed under the name Brassica napus (rape). RNAcentral's name for it is "long non-coding RNA (BNAP_LNC018289)". The record is from RNAcentral. Lineage: Eukaryota; Viridiplantae; Streptophyta; Magnoliopsida; Brassicales; Brassicaceae.